Molecule: ribosomal RNA, 253 nt
Filed under: uncultured bacterium
Lineage: Bacteria
Description: partial 16S ribosomal RNA
Rfam family: Bacterial small subunit ribosomal RNA
Source: RNAcentral
GACGAACCGUGCGAACGUUAUUCGGAAUCACUGGGCUUAAAGGGCGCGUAGGCGGGCUCGCAAGUCAGGGGUGAAAUCUUUCAGCUUAACUGGAAAACAGCCCCUGAUACUGCGAGUCUCGAGGGAGGUAGGGGCAUGUGGAACUUCCGGUGGAGCGGUGAAAUGCGUAGAUAUCGGAAGGAACGCCGGUGGCGAAAGCGACGUGCUGGACCUCUUCUGACGCUGAGGCGCGAAAGCUAGGGGAGCAAACGGG